Long non-coding RNA from Musa acuminata AAA Group (dessert banana), 6015 nucleotides. RefSeq lists it as uncharacterized. The record is from RefSeq and is a predicted model, not a curated record. Lineage: Eukaryota; Viridiplantae; Streptophyta; Magnoliopsida; Zingiberales; Musaceae. The transcript has 3 exons.
CACACUUGCUCAUGUAAUAUCCCUCGCUUUUAAAAAUUAUUAAUAAAGAUUUAUAUGUAAAUUGGAGGACCUAUAUGUAAAUAUAGAAAUUACAAGGACUAAACUGCUAAGUUGCAAAAAAAAGAAAAAAAAAGGGAAAACCGAAAAUUCGGUAUUAUCCCACCGCCUCCCACGCACUCUGUUUCUUCCAGAAACAGAGAGAGCGGUGGGGCGUGAGGAGAAGAAGGAGAGUGGUAGAAGAAGAAGAAGAAGAAGAAGAAGAAGAAGAAGAAGAGGGAAAAGAAGAGAGGAGGAAGAAGAGGGAGUAGAGAAGAAGAAGAAGGAGAAGAAGAAGAAGAGGAGGUGGCUGCAGCGAGGGCUGCAGCGAGAAGCUGUGGGGCGUGGGGAGAAGAAGAGAGGAAGAAGAGGGAGAAGAGAAGAAGAAGAAGAAGAAGAAGAGAAGAGGAUAGCUGCGGCAAGGCUGCAGCGAGGAGGUGUGUGGGGUUGGGGAGGAAAAGGGAAGAGGAGAAGAAGAGGGAAAAGAGAGGGAAGAGGGAGAGGAGCGAGAGGUGGCAGCAGCUAGGGCUGCAGCACCUCUGUUUCCUGCAGGUGGAAACAGAGGAGACGUGUGGGGCGUUCGAAGAGGAGAAGAAGAAGAAGAGGAAGAGAAGAGGAAGAGGAAGCAGGGGAAGAGGUUGUGAUACCUCUGUUUCCUGCAGAGGAAACAGAGGAAAGGGUGUGGGUGACGUCGGGGAGAAGAAGGGGAGGAAGGAGAAGAAGAGAAGAAGAAGAAAGGAAGGAAAAGGAAGAGGAGAAGGGAAGAAAGUAGCUGCGGCUGCGGUUGUGGCAGCUGCAGCUGUGGCAGGGAAAGAAGAAGAGAAAGGAAGAAGGGGAGGAGAGGAAGAAGAGUAGGGGCUGCGGCUGCGGCGAUGGCAGCUGCAGUUGGAAGAGAAGAAGGAGAGGAAGAUGAGCAGGGGAGGAAGAAAAGGCUGUGGCCGUGGCUGAGGCUGCGACUGCAGCAUGCAGCUGGGAAAGAAGAGAAGGAAAGGAAGAAGAAGAGAAAGGAAGAAGGGAAGGAGAGGAAGAAGAGAAGGGGCUGCGGCUGCGGCGAUGGCAGCUGCAGUUGGAAGAGAAGAAGGAGAGGAAGAUGAGCAGGGGAGGAAGAAAAGGCUGUGGCCGUGGCUGAGGCUGCGACUGCAGCAUGCAACUGGGAAAGAAGAGAAGGAAAGGAAGAAGAAGAGAAAGGAAGAAGGGAAGGAGAGGAAGAAGAGAAGGGGCUACGGCUGCGGCGAUGGCAGCUGCAGUUGGAAGAGAAGAAGGAGAGGAAGAUAAGCAGGGGAGGAAGAAGAGGCUGCGAGUGUGGUGGCUGCGGCCGUGGCUGCGACUCCGGCUGCGGCUGCAACGUUGGCUGCGGUAGCUGCGGCAGCGGUGGUGGCUGCAGUAGCUGCAGUAGCUGCUUUUGGGAAAGAGAAAGAGUAGGAACGAGAGAAGGGAAGAAGGAAAUAGUGCAGUGGAAGGGGGCUGCGGUUGUGACCGCAGUUGCGGUCGUGGCUGCGAUUGUGGCAGCGGCAGCGACGACGGCUGUGGCAGCUGCGUUUGGGAAAGAAAAAAAAAGAAGGAAUGAGAGUAAGAGAGAGCAGGUGACUGUGCCUCGAUGUUCGACACGUGAUGUAGUUGCGAAGAAAGGAAGAAAACGGGAGCACAAAACGAAACAGAGAGAGGACACGGAGAAAAAGUAGAAGGAUUUGGGCUGGCACCUUCUUUGGAUCUUCGGAUCGAAAUCAUUGAAAGGUCAGCUUGUCACUCUUCGAGAUGUUUGAUUUGGGCUGAGGCAGUGGAUAGCUAUUCAGAAUAAUGGGCAAGUCUGGUUGGUUAUUACGAUAUUGUUGUAUAAGUAUGUCUUGUAUGUAAUGAAAUGUUGUCGAUGAACCGAAAUGGAUAUACUGUGUCAAAGUGUUAGGAGAUCUCUCUUAUUUGGAAAUUUCAGAAUGUUAAGUCUAAUUUAUGGUGAUAUGAACUUGUGGUGAAUAGUUGGAGUUCUGAUUGUAUAAUUUAUUUAGCUUGUGGAUUUAUAAAUAUUAUUCAUGUUUGUCAAGUUGGCUUGGGUUGCCAUAAAUGUGAAUUAUCGAGUGAUGUGAUAUAUGAUUAUAAACUGCACAGGUUUUAUGGAUGUGAAUAUUAAUAGAAUGUUUUCAGUGUCCUCAAACGUUCGUUUGGAUCCUGGAUUGGUCUGUGACGAAAAUUUUAAAAAUCAUGGAUAUUUUGAGGGGCAUGACAGAGGUGGUAUCAGAGCAUUGUUUGAGGAUUACUGAAAUAUUUGAUAUGUUGACGUGCAAAAUAUAUUGGGGUCUAAUGAACUAUAGUGAUUGGUGGAAAUUUUCUUUGAUGUAUUUUAGGAAUCUGGGAUGAUGAGGACAUUUGGUCCUCCUAUUUCAUUGUUUCUGAUUAAUUAAGGGGAAUGAAAGGAUUGAUUGGGGAUAUUGAAUCAGAGUGGCGCAGCGAAAGCAUGGUGGACCUAAUUUCAUUGGUGGUAGAAAAAUGAAUGAUGCAAACAGAGAAGAUAUUUGAUGUACAAAAUUGUUUUGAUGAUCAAAAGAUUUCUUUUGCCACCUUAUAUUGGAAGUAGAGGCUGAUUAUUAUUGGCAACAAUGAAAAGAAUUUUUGGAGAUCAGUGACAAGAAUGAUAAGGACAAGUUUACCAAUAAGAAUAUGAUUGGAAAUGAAUCAGAAAGUAAUGACAAGAGGGUCAAGACAUUUGGAUUUGAAAAGGAAAGUCACCACCAAAGACUUAAUCAUGUGUGAAUUACAAGUUAAAUUAUGAAACAAGUUUGUGUUUUCGGGUGAUUGGAGUCUAUUUUGCUUGUAGAAAGUUGGAUCAUAAAAUAAAAGUUUGCCCUUUGAACAAGAAGAAAGAGUCACUGCCUCCUAAAUCAUCAGCCCAUGUAAGAGUGUAUGCUAUCACUGAAUAUGAUUCUGAAACUUCUGAAUUAGUGGCCAAAGGUAUUAUGCAUGUUUAUGAAAGAAUGCAAAUAUUUGUUCGACCAUGGGUCCAAUCUACGAUUUGAUUCGUAAUAUUUUGCUUAUCACUUGGGUAUUCAACCUAGACCACUACAUUAUGUGCUAUAAGUAAAUACGAUCAUUGGAGAUUCUUUGAUAACGAAGUUGAAUCUGGUCCUCUUGUCUGAUUCUUAUUGGAGAACUUGAACUUUUGCUGAUUUAGUUCUCCUAGAGAUUUGGAGUUAUGAUAUUAUACUUGGUAUGGAUUGGCCAUCUUAUUAUCAUACCAGUAUGGAUUGAUAUAUAACAAAUAAUCACUUUUUGUAUAUUUGAUCAGUCGAUCUUUUACAUUGAGAGUAUGGGACAUGAUUUAUCUCCUUGCCUAAUGUAUCCCAGAAUGACUUGCUUGGAUUACCUCCAAACGUGACUUUGCUUUUGAUUUGGCCUUUAGGACAAUCCCAAUAUCUAAGCCUCUCUGUAGAAUGAUAUCAUUUGAGUAAGUGGAAUUGGAAAAACAACUACAAGGAUUAUUAAAUGAGGAUUUUAUUUGGCUUAAUAUUUCAUCAUGGGGUGCUCCGGUGUUAGUUAAAAGAAAUGUAUGGAAUAUUGAGGCUUUGUAAUGAUUAUAGACAGUUGAAUUAGGUGACCAUCAAAAACGAGUAUUUUCUGAAGUAACGACUUGCUCGAUUAAUUACAGGGUACGCAAGUAUUUUUAGAAAUUGAUUGAAGGUCGGGUUACCGUCUAUUGAGGAUCAAGGAGGAGAAUAUUUCGGUCACUCGUGGAUAAUUAUGUAAUUGUAUUGUAUUGAUGAAACUAUUUAAGAGUAGGAGGAGGAAAUAAAGAUAUCAUAAUCCUCAUCUUUUCAUCGAUUGAGCUAUGAUCAAUUUAGAGGACUAAAUUUUCUUUUAAGGGGGGGAGAGUGUAAUAUCCCUCGCUUUUAAAAAUUAUUAAUAAAGAUUUAUAUGUAAAUUGGAGGACCUAUAUGUAAAUAUAGAAAUUACAAGGACUAAACUGCUAAGUUGCAAAAAAAAGAAAAAAAAAGGGAAAACCGAAAAUUCGGUAUUAUCCCACCGCCUCCCACGCACUCUGUUUCUUCCAGAAACAGAGAGAGCGGUGGGGCGUGAGGAGAAGAAGGAGAGUGGUAGAAGAAGAAGAAGAAGAAGAAGAAGAAGAAGAAGAAGAAGAAGAAGAGGGAAAAGAAGAGAGGAGGAAGAAGAGGGAGUAGAGAAGAAGAAGAAGGAGAAGAAGAAGAAGAGGAGGUGGCUGCAGCGAGGGCUGCAGCGAGAAGCUGUGGGGCGUGGGGAGAAGAAGAGAGGAAGAAGAGGGAGAAGAGAAGAAGAAGAAGAAGAAGAAGAGAAGAGGAUAGCUGCGGCAAGGCUGCAGCGAGGAGGUGUGUGGGGUUGGGGAGGAAAAGGGAAGAGGAGAAGAAGAGGGAAAAGAGAGGGAAGAGGGAGAGGAGCGAGAGGUGGCAGCAGCUAGGGCUGCAGCACCUCUGUUUCCUGCAGGUGGAAACAGAGGAGACGUGUGGGGCGUUCGAAGAGGAGAAGAAGAAGAAGAGGAAGAGAAGAGGAAGAGGAAGCAGGGGAAGAGGUUGUGAUACCUCUGUUUCCUGCAGAGGAAACAGAGGAAAGGGUGUGGGUGACGUCGGGGAGAAGAAGGGGAGGAAGGAGAAGAAGAGAAGAAGAAGAAAGGAAGGAAAAGGAAGAGGAGAAGGGAAGAAAGUAGCUGCGGCUGCGGUUGUGGCAGCUGCAGCUGUGGCAGGGAAAGAAGAAGAGAAAGGAAGAAGGGGAGGAGAGGAAGAAGAGUAGGGGCUGCGGCUGCGGCGAUGGCAGCUGCAGUUGGAAGAGAAGAAGGAGAGGAAGAUGAGCAGGGGAGGAAGAAAAGGCUGUGGCCGUGGCUGAGGCUGCGACUGCAGCAUGCAGCUGGGAAAGAAGAGAAGGAAAGGAAGAAGAAGAGAAAGGAAGAAGGGAAGGAGAGGAAGAAGAGAAGGGGCUGCGGCUGCGGCGAUGGCAGCUGCAGUUGGAAGAGAAGAAGGAGAGGAAGAUGAGCAGGGGAGGAAGAAAAGGCUGUGGCCGUGGCUGAGGCUGCGACUGCAGCAUGCAACUGGGAAAGAAGAGAAGGAAAGGAAGAAGAAGAGAAAGGAAGAAGGGAAGGAGAGGAAGAAGAGAAGGGGCUACGGCUGCGGCGAUGGCAGCUGCAGUUGGAAGAGAAGAAGGAGAGGAAGAUAAGCAGGGGAGGAAGAAGAGGCUGCGAGUGUGGUGGCUGCGGCCGUGGCUGCGACUCCGGCUGCGGCUGCAACGUUGGCUGCGGUAGCUGCGGCAGCGGUGGUGGCUGCAGUAGCUGCAGUAGCUGCUUUUGGGAAAGAGAAAGAGUAGGAACGAGAGAAGGGAAGAAGGAAAUAGUGCAGUGGAAGGGGGCUGCGGUUGUGACCGCAGUUGCGGUCGUGGCUGCGAUUGUGGCAGCGGCAGCGACGGCGGCUGUGGCAGCUGCGUUUGGGAAAGAAAAAAAAAGAAGGAAUGAGAGUAAGAGAGAGCAGGUGACUGUGCCUCGAUGUUCGACACGUGAUGUAGUUGCGAAGAAAGGAAGAAAACGGGAGCACAAAACGAAACAGAGAGAGGACACGGAGAAAAAGUAGAAGGAUUUGGGCUGGCACCUUCUUUGGAUCUUCGGAUCGAAAUCAUUGAAAGGUCAGCUUGUCACUCUUCGAGAUGUUUGAUUUGGGCUGAGGCAGUGGAUAGCUAUUCAGAAUAAUGGGCAAGUCUGGUUGGUUAUUACGAUAUUGUUGUAUAAGUAUGUCUUGUAUGUAAUGAAAUGUUGUCGAUGAACCGAAAUGGAUAUACUGUGUCAAAGUGUUAGGAGAUCUCUCUUAUUUGGAAAUUUCAGAAUGUUAAGUCUAAUUUAUGGUGAUAUGAACUUGUGGUGAAUAGUUGGAGUUCUGAUUGUAUAAUUUAUUUAGCUUGUGGAUUUAUAAAUAUUAUUCAUGUUUGUCAAGUUGGCUUGGGUUGCCAUAAAUGUGAAUUAUCGAGUGAUGUGAUAUA